Long non-coding RNA from Talpa occidentalis (Iberian mole), 362 nucleotides. RefSeq lists it as uncharacterized. NCBI's taxonomy places the organism in Eukaryota, Metazoa, Chordata, Mammalia, Eulipotyphla, Talpidae. The transcript is spliced from 3 exons. The record is from RefSeq and is a predicted model, not a curated record.
CCUUGGAAAACAUAGAUCAGUAAUGUAGCAGCAAAAGACAUCAUGAUACCAAAUGGGAAACGAGGAUUUGGAAGAUGCUUUGGAACUCUUAAUUUCCAGACCAGUUGAUAGCAGAUACAGUUCAUUACACAGGAAAAUUGCUUGAUCUUGGGAGAAAGAAGGUGCUGGAGCAAGGUUUUUAUGAAAGACUCAGAUUGUUUUUACCAAGGUCAUGGCAUAUGGAACCUACAUGAAUCCUACACUGUUCUUAAAAACAUCUGAGAUAUUUAAAUGACUUGGUUUAAUUGUGAUAACUGGAACAAUUAUUUCAUGGAGCUUACCAAAUCUUGAUAUUGUAUUGUCUAGGCAAUAAGGCAAAAGCC